Molecule: ribosomal RNA, 254 nt
Filed under: uncultured bacterium
Lineage: Bacteria
Description: partial 16S ribosomal RNA
Rfam family: Bacterial small subunit ribosomal RNA
Source: RNAcentral
UACGGGGGGAGCAAGCGUUGUUCGGAUUUACUGGGCGUAAAGGGCGCGUAGGCGGCCAGCACAAGUCAGUUGUGAAAUCUCCGAGCUUAACUCGGAAAGGUCAACUGAUACUGUGCGGCUAGAGUGCGGAAGGAGCAACUGGAAUUCUUGGUGUAGCGGUGAAAUGCGUAGAUAUCAAGAGGAACACCUGCGGCGAAGGCGGGUUGCUGGGCCGACACUGACGCUGAGGCGCGAAAGCCAGGGGAGCGAACGGG